UAAAACCCCUGAUGCGGACCACAACUAAACGGUUCUUCAAAGCUUUCCCCAAAAUUAAUACUUUCAGACACUAACUUGCCAGGAACUUUAGCCUUUAAUUAUAAUAUGCCCGGCGGGGGGAUUAGCCAUGUGUAACAUUGCUGUUGUUGUACCAAUAACAUAUAGGGUCUAAACAUGUUUCAGAAAUAUAUGGAGUUCAAUGGUUUAUUGAAAUAAUAAACAGUAAAGCCUGCCCGCUUAGCUCAGAUCUACGGAUUGCGGGUCGUGAGUUCGAUCCUUGGGCAAGGCGUUCUCCGUGAAGAUUUAAUAAAGGACAUACCACCUCUGAUUCAUGUGGGGAAGUUGGGAGUUACUUGCGGAAAACAGGUUUGUACUGGUACAGAAUCCAGGAAUACUGGUUAGGUUAACUGCCCGCCGUUACAUGACUGAAAUACUGUUGAAAAAUGGCGUUAAACCCAAAACAAACCAACAAACAAACAAUAAAUUAAUGUAGAAUAUUAACACCAAUAAAUGUCUUGCCUGUCAUUAAGCAAAGCUUUAGAAGUAAAUAUCAGUAAGUGCCUAGUCAGCUUGAUUGUUGCUGCCAAAGUGUCAUAUCACCCAACAGAUGAUAUGAAAAAUAACAUCAACUGUGCAGAAAACUAAAACUAAAAAACUAACUUUCUGAUAAGAUUACAUGCAUAGAUCAAAACAGCCAUUUUGUGCAUGAGAUAAUUUUGUCAGUGGAGAAUAUGAUAUAAUUAUUUUUAAAGUUCAACCAAUGGAAUAUUUGCAUUGAGCUUUUUGUGAGGUAUAAUAAUAUACACUAUGAUAUUGAAACAGCAAAAUUGUUAAGUUUAUUGAACAAAUUUGUUAGUUUUGUUUAUGAUUGUUUGUUGUAACUUGUUGUGUAUGGUAAUAUCUGAAUUUCUGUUUAAAACAGCUUUGUUCCAGGUUAAUAUCAGAUUUUCUAAUUCAUAUUCUGGCCUGUUAUACCAUAUUACAAAAAUGUCAUUCAUUCUUCUGUGACAUAUUAAUUAGUUAAAAGUGAAUUCAUGUAGAAUGAAAUUUUCAAUAUUUUAAAUAACCACUCAGUGUACAAAUAUUUACAUGUUUCCAUCCAUCACAUUUCACUAUUCAGGUUUCCAUCCAUCACAUUCCACUAUUCAGGUUUCCAUCCAUCACAUUCCACUAUUCAGGUUUCCAUCCAUCACAUUCCACUAUUCAGGAAUGUUGAAGCUUUAUUAUCAAUAUGUGUUUUACCAUGAAAUCCUAAUACAAAGAUGUGUUUUUCAUUGAAGAACAUGGUGGCAUUGUCUUCUUACUGUGAUAAGGCUUCUUCAAAUAAAGACUACUAAAGGGUGCCUUUGACAGCAUUUAUUCUAGCAUGUUUGUAAUGGUUGUUAUAUCAAUAUUGACUAAGUGGAAGUGUAUUUUUAAAAAAAUGUGCACUCUUUUUAACAGGAGAGGGGGAACUUUGUUAUUUGUUGAUAUUGUAUAGUCAUUUUAAUCGACCUGGCGGUGCGGGGUUUCGCGAUGGUCCACUGCAUUAUUGUGCAGGAUAUGUAGUAUAUUUGGCAGCCUGAUUUCUUAUUCACUGGCCAUUUACUUUACACUGUAACCACUAUAGCUGUACCUAUUUUGCUCGUUUUUUUGUGAUUACCAUUAUUUGCAUAAGCCAGAGAUUAACUCCGCCCCGCCAUGUCAAAUAAAACGCACUACAGUAGUUGGUUACCAGUAUGAACAUAAAUGUACUUGUUGUGAUCUUGUAUAUCCAUGUUAUGAGUACAACCUUUUUGAGGGGUUAUGGCAGUAAGUUUAAAGUAGAGUGGAUGGAUAUGUUGUUGCCAUGGUGAUGAAGGUUCAGAUUCUGUCUCUAGCUGAAAUGUUGGUUUUACAGCAUUUCCAAAUAUAUACUGGUAUACCAGUAUGCGAGGAAGUCGUGUUCACACAUGAUAACAAUUUGUCAAUUUAUGUGUGUUUUUACAUUCAUAUUUAUUCAUGGGUUUUAUUUAUUUUUGAGUAUGGGAACAAAUUUGUCUCAAGAUGCAUUUAUACUGUAUAAUUUAUUAUGUAAUGUCUAAAAAAAAUUUAAUUUUAUUGUUGUGUUUAGAAAAAUGCCAUUGAAUAGAUAUUAGUGAAAUAUAUUUUUACAGUAUA
Molecule: long non-coding RNA, 2139 nt
Organism: Mercenaria mercenaria
Lineage: Eukaryota; Metazoa; Mollusca; Bivalvia; Venerida; Veneridae
Exons: 2
Source: RefSeq, a predicted model, not a curated record